RNAcentral lists this ribosomal RNA (464 nucleotides) under uncultured bacterium. RNAcentral's name for it is "partial 16S ribosomal RNA". It matches the Rfam family "Bacterial small subunit ribosomal RNA", at positions 339 to 795 of the family's 1533-position model. The record is from RNAcentral.
CUACGGGGCGCUCCAGUGGGGAAUAUUGCACAAUGGGCGCAAGCCUGAUGCAGCCAUGCCGCGUGUAUGAAGAAGGCCUUCGGGUUGUAAAGUACUUUCAGCGGGGAGGAAGGGAGUAAAGUUAAUACCUCUGCUCAUUGACGUUACCCGCAGAAGAAGCACCGGCUAACUCCGUGCCAGCAGCCGCGGUAAUACGGAGGGUGCAAGCGUUAAUCGGAAUUACUGGGCGUAAAGCGCACGCAGGCAGUUUGUUAAGUCAGAUGUGAAAUCCCCGGGCUCAACCUGGGAACUGCAUCUGAUACUGGCAAGCUUGAGUCCCGUAGAGGGGGGUAGAAUUCCAGGUGUAGCGGUGAAAUGCGUAGAGAUCUGGAGGAAUACCGGUGGCGAAGGCGGCCCCCUGGACGAAGACUGACGCUCAGGUGCGAAAGCGUGGGGAGCAAACAGGAUUAGAUACCCCGGUAGUC